This 1636-nucleotide ribosomal RNA is filed under the name Passalacarus sylvestris. RNAcentral describes it as "SSU rRNA". It matches the Rfam family "Eukaryotic small subunit ribosomal RNA", at positions 20 to 1655 of the family's 1831-position model. Lineage: Eukaryota; Metazoa; Arthropoda; Arachnida; Mesostigmata; Diplogyniidae. The record is from RNAcentral.
GUAGUCAUAUGCUUGUCUCAAAGAUUAAGCCAUGCAUGUCUAAGUACUGACUGCCAAUGAAAUGGUGAAACCGCGAACGGCUCAUUAAAUCAGUUAUGGUUCCUUGGAACAUGAGACCACUGGAUAACUGUGGCAAUUCUAGAGCUAAUACAUGCGAUUUGCGCGCAGAGCUUCACGGCUCUCCGCGUGCUCUUAUUAGACAACCGAGCCCGUCGUCGCGCCCUCGGGCCGGCGGCGGGAUGAGGUGGUGACUCUGGAUAAUGCUGCUGAUCGUUCAGGCCUUAGAGCAGGCGAACUUCUUUCAAGUGACUGCUCUAUCAACUGUCGAUGGUAGGUUACACGCCUACCAUGGUUGUAACGGGUAACGGAGAAUCAGGGUUCGAUUCCGGAGAGGGAGCCUGAGAAACGGCUACCACAUCCAAGGAAGGCAGCAGGCGCGCAAAUUACCCAAUCCCAGCAUGGGGGAGGUAGUGACGAAAAAUAACGAUGCGGGGCACAUAAGUGUCUCCGUGAUUGGAAUGAGUACACCCUAAAUCCUUUAACGAGGAUCUAUCGGAAGGCAAGUCUGGUGCCAGCAGCCGGCGGUAAGGCCAGGNNCNGAUUGGCUUAUACUAAUGCUGUUGCGGUUAAAAAGCUCGUAGUUGAAACCCAGCGGGCGCGUGCAGUGGGGCGCACAUGCUGUGCCCGUGUGCGCGCGUCGCGCAUGGAAGGCAGCUGUCCGUCGUCCUCUUAACCGAGCGGCUUCGGGUGGCUGUCAUUGAUCACUUUGAUUAAAUUAGAGUGCUCAAAGCAGGCCUCGCGCCUCAAUGCUGUUGCAUGGAAUGAUGGAAUAUGUUGCUGUUCUGUUUGUCUGGUUUUUGGAUAUGGCAAGAUGAUUAAUAGGAACAACCCGGAGGUGAAGGUACUGCGGCGAUAGAGGUGAAAUUCUUGGACCGUCGCAAGACCAACUACAGCGAAAGCAUUCGCCGAGAGUGUUUUCAUUGAUCAAGAACGAAAGUUAGAGGAUCGAAAGCGAUCAGAUACCGCUCUAGUUCUAACCAUAAACGAUGCCGACCUGCAAUCCGCCUCGGUUCUAUUAAUGACUGGGCGGGCAGCUCCGGGAAACCAGAGUCUGGUUCCGGGGGGAGUAUGGUCGCAAGUCGUAAACUUAAAGGAAUUGACGGAAGGGCACCACAACGGAGUGGGCCUGCGGCUUAAUUUGACUCAACACGGGAAAACUUUCCCAGGCCGGACACUGGAAGGAUUGACAGAUUGAGAGCUCUUUCUUGAUUCUGUGGAUUGUGGUGCAUGGCCGUUCUUAGUUGGUGGAGCGAUCUGUCUGGUUAAUUCCGAUAACGAACGAGACCCUAGCCUAUUAAAUAGACUCGCACGUAUUCUGCCAAGCGAGUUCUUCUUAGAGGGACAAGGUGCUUUCAGCACCGUGAAACAGAGCAAUAACAGGUCUGUAAUGCCCUACGAUACCUGGGGCCGCACGCGCGCCACACUGAGGGGACAAACGAGUCGGCUGCCUUGCUCUUGCGAGCUGGGUGACCUCUUGAAGUUCCCUCAUGGUGGGGAUANGNGCUNGCAAUUGUUCCCCNUGAACCANNAAUUCCUAGUAAANGCUGGUCAUCAGCCANNGNNNACUAUGUNCCUG